RNAcentral lists this ribosomal RNA (497 nucleotides) under uncultured bacterium. RNAcentral's name for it is "partial 16S ribosomal RNA". It matches the Rfam family "Bacterial small subunit ribosomal RNA", at positions 28 to 507 of the family's 1533-position model. The record is from RNAcentral.
GAUGAACGCUGGCGGCGUGCCUAAUACAUGCAAGUCGAGCGAAUGGACGGGAAGCUUGCUUUUCUGAUGCUAGCGGCGGAUGGGUGAUUAAUACGUGUAUAACCUAUCGAUAAGAAUGGGAUAACUUCGGGAAACCGCAUCCAGUACACGUUAAUAGUGUGAACCGCAUGGUUCAAAAGUGAAAGACGUUCUUGCUGUCACUUAUAGAUGUAUCCUCGUUGCAUUAGCUAGUUGGUAAGUUAACGGCUUACCAAAGCAACGAUGCAUAGCUUAUCUGAGAGGGUGAUCGGUCACACUGGUACUCAGAUACGUUCCCGACCCCUACGGGAGGCAGCAGUACGGAAUAUUGGUCAAUGGGCGAAUGCCUGACGUAGCCACGCAGCGUGUGUGAGGAAGGUCUUCGGCUUGUAAAACACUUUGAUUUAGGAUGAACGUAUGUCUAUGGAACUGUGCACAUCUUGACGUUACCUACCCAGUAAGCCUCGGCUAACUCCGUG